RNAcentral lists this ribosomal RNA (269 nucleotides) under uncultured prokaryote. Its description in RNAcentral is "partial 16S ribosomal RNA". It matches the Rfam family "Bacterial small subunit ribosomal RNA", at positions 524 to 792 of the family's 1533-position model. The record is from RNAcentral.
UACGGAGGGGGCAAGCGUUGUUCGGAAUUACUGGGCGUAAAGGGCGCGUAGGCGGGGUGUCAAGUUAGGGGUGAAAGGCCUGGGCUCAACCUAGGAACUGCCUCUAAAACUGAUACUCUAGAGUCCGGGAGAGGAUGGCGGAAUUCCCAGUGUAGAGGUGAAAUUCGUAGAUAUUGGGAAGAACACCAGUGGCGAAGGCGGCCAUCUGGUCCGGCACUGACGCUGAGGCGCGAAAGCGUGGGGAGCAAACAGGAUUAGAUACCCCCGUA